Long non-coding RNA from Rosa chinensis, 967 nucleotides. RefSeq lists it as uncharacterized. The transcript is spliced from 4 exons. The record is from RefSeq and is a predicted model, not a curated record. NCBI's taxonomy places the organism in Eukaryota, Viridiplantae, Streptophyta, Magnoliopsida, Rosales, Rosaceae.
UCUGUGUUCAUAUUCACUUCAACUUGACUACCUAGUACCUUGAAUUGAUACUCCAUGUCAUAUGAAACUGUGUUAUAUGAAACUGUGUUAUUUUUAGGACUAUGAUCCUGAAUCUCAUUAUGGUCCACAUUCAUCUUAUUAUGGGCGCAAUCAAUCAUAUGGUGGGGGUCACUACUAUUAGACCCUAGAACUAUUCGGGUUCUACUCUACUUUUCGGUGGCUCUGUUUUCUUGUGAUUAACGUUUACAAAUGAAAAGGAUUUGAUUCGAGGCCGGCAUAGUCCCAUCUGUAUCCAGUUUGAUUUCAAAAGAUUCUUUCCUCUUCUUUGUUUCUUUUGUUUGCACAUGCAAACAUUCUUCAUGUUGGAGUGAGGUUGUUCAACUCCUCUGCUAAUCAGGCAUAGCAUUUCAUGGCUUCUACUCAAUUCAUCCCACAGUUCUGCAUUUCUGCAUUUGGCCUUAAUGAUAUUAAUUUCUGCAUUUUAUUGGUUAUUGACUUGUUGCUUUCAAGAUAUUGGAUUAUUGGUUACUGCUUUAAUGUUGUGUUGUUGUGUCGGUAUCUUUGUGAUUUGUGCAUCAUGAUACAUGUUAUUGCUUUACUUUUUAAUUUUGUAUAAUUGUAUUUGUAAACUGAUCAAGUUUGAACUGUGAAUGCACAGAGUUGCAGACUUGCAGAUUUGUGUACUUGUCGAGUUGUCAUGGAGGUUUGGACUUGUGGAGCAAGGCAGCAGGUCGAGCAACUAGAGCCUAAAGGCCUAGAGCAGUGCAGCUUCAGUUAUUUCUUAGUUGGACAGUUUGACUAUUUGUGCAGAACUGCAAAUUGUGUUUAACUGUUUAUGUUUCUGUUGGACAAUGUAUUCUGGAUUUCUGGACUCUUGAGUUUGUGUUGUAAAUUGUAAACUGUGGCUAAAUUUGAUUAUUGCAAAUUGAUUAUAGUUAUGUUAAUGAGAUGCAUUAUAAUUUGAUUA